Raphanus sativus (radish) is the source of this 2103-nucleotide long non-coding RNA. RefSeq lists it as uncharacterized. The transcript has 8 exons. The record is from RefSeq and is a predicted model, not a curated record. NCBI's taxonomy places the organism in Eukaryota, Viridiplantae, Streptophyta, Magnoliopsida, Brassicales, Brassicaceae.
UACAUAGACUGGGCCGAGACAAAGCGCCUCGCUCUAACCCUGUCGUCUCUCCCUUUUCCUGUGCCGGCGACGAGUGACGCUUGAUUUGCUUCUCCAUGUAUGAAACGGGCGGAGUUAUGGUUCGUCUUGAUUUCUUUUUAUUCAAUCACCCACAAAGAGAUCUUGAAUGAUGCAUUCUUCACUCUGAGACGGUGUCAGAUCGGUAUAAAUAUAGUUUUCUUCUCCCACUUGAAGACCGGUGGUUGCACAUCCGUCGUCGAGGCUAGGCUGCUGCGUUUCUGGGAGGCGAGAAAUGUCAAGCGUGGUGGUGAGCUCAUGUGGGUUGAUAUAAUUUCGGUUGACGUGAAUAUGACUAUGACUAUGAUGCUCACUGGGAGAUGGACAAGUAACCUCGAUUGUUUUGACUUUCAGAUUUUGAAGGUUUCGUUCAUAUCUGGAAAGAAGGGAAUCAUAAUUCUGGGCUUGAUCUAGAUUCAUAUAUAUACGUAAGUAUCUCUAACGUAAGUCCUCUUGGUUACAUGCUUAGGGCAGAUUUCGUCCUACUUGAAAGCUUUACUAAUAAAUCUUGGUAAAAUAACUUAAUAGGACAGCCUGUCAUUGAGGAGUUCAUUAUUAAUCCCAACUCUGCUUAUUUUCUACUCUUAGCUUCUUAGACAUUAAAGUGCAGUCUUUUUAAGGAGUUUGCCUUCUUUCUUAAUGUAUACUAUAUUGCCUUCUUUCUUAAUGUAUACUAUACAUAUAUAUAGAUUUUCCCCGUAUGCUUAUGCAAGUUAAAGUGUGAAUUCUAUAUGUAGUUUAUACAUUCUGAUCUGGAUAUGUUUAUAUUUGGCAUUGGUUCUGCCUCUAUUGUUUUAUUUUGUUUUGUUGAUCUACCUAGACAUGAAUAGUUUUACAUGGAAUGGUGGUUUUUGUAGAAAAAAAACCAUAUCUUCACUGCUUUCCUCUACUAAAGUUUUGACCUUUGAUCUAAGAUAAUGUUUCAGACGGCUAAACAGUAUUCGUUAUAUUUUAUUUGGGGAAAGAGCAAAGAGUAAAAUUCUUACGAUACGUUUUGGGGGCCAAUCGCUAUUCUUUCGGUGAAGAUCUUGGCAGACGAGCUCAAAUGAUGGCUAAGGGACAUCAAGGAGAAGUUACCUAUGUGGCGCUGGAAGUUGAGACAGCGAAAUCAAGCUUUACAAUCGAGAAGACUAAUGAGCUCCCUGAUGGUCAGGUGAUCCCGAUUGGUGCAGAAAGGUUCUGCUCGGAAGUCCUCUUUCAGCCAUUGUUUGUCGGGAUAGAAGCACCAGGGUUUAUAUUGUGAUCUAGACCGUCGUUGCUAAUUUAUAGAUUUACAUAAAUUGACAUAACUCCUAACGUUUAGUUCCAGAGAUAACCUAGGUGAAGUCAUGGGAAUAAAUACAACUUACAAUAAAGAAACCCAGACCACUCAACGUGUUAUGGCAGUCAUCCGCAUUCACAGUUGCAAAACGGUGAGUUAGUGUUUUCAAUGGCCUUGCCGUGCAACUACGUACUAAAUUAGGCUCGACUGGUUUUAAGCCAAAGGUCAUAGUUGUGACAAACAUUAAUACGAAAAUGGUUGGAGGCCGACUCUUCCUAAAUUCAGCUUCUUGAACUUUCUCCUUCGACAAGGAGAGUAGCACAGGCGUCGGUUACCUGAAAGUGCUGAUGCAAACUGCGCCAGUGAGUCCUCUACUUAUAAGCAAGAUGGAGGUGUCAAGAAGAUUGAGUCGAUAACACUACCAGAGCUGAUGCUUAUGUGCUGAGUUCACCCCCGAGACUGCAUGGUUUCUAUGCCGUGGGAAGGUAACUGAACUAAAUGGUCUCCGUGCAACCACCGAGAUGCCUACUGAGAAGUCCCAAGAUGAUGAUGUUGGACACUCUGAAAGAAGUCGCGAGACUUUCACAUAUCACAGUUACUCUAAUCUCCUUAAAAAAAAUCGUUGCAUCAAUAAGAUCGAGUGCAAGUCUAUGUGGUGUUUUGACUGCAUUUAGCUGUUUAACGGGUCAAGUUAUUCUGCUAUAACCGUCUUAAUUUUUCAAAUAUUAUGAAUAUUCACUCGGAUAUACAACAUUUAUUUUAUAUUUACCUAACACUUGGAACUA